GUUGAGUAGAAUAAAUGAGUUGUUGGCAGGCUUGGAAAGAAAUGGUAAGAUGACUGGAGGGGGUGUGCAUAGAUAACGUAUCUUGGGAAGCAAUUUUUUCCUCAUUUAAUAUGGUAUAUCUAGAUGAGAGAAACCUAAGGAGAGAAUAUGAGAUCUUUGUGAACCUUCAAACGAGCUCAAGAUGGUAUAUAGCUCAAGCCAUUGUUUCCGUGGAUAUAUAUAUAUAUGUAACUUAGAAUAGAACUAUAACAUAAUUACUUAAAAAGUAACAGACCAAACUUGCCAACAGAUGUCCUAAUAAAACAAAAUUGAUUUUAUAGGUUGCAACCACUAACUGGUUGGAAAGCAAAAAUAAAAAUAGCUUAUCAGAUUUUUCCAUAACACUUAAGUUGUAGUUAAAAGAAGAGGUUUACCUCCAGAAACUCAAAUAGUUCAA
This 436-nucleotide unclassified non-coding RNA is filed under the name Hevea brasiliensis (rubber tree). The record is from RNAcentral. Lineage: Eukaryota; Viridiplantae; Streptophyta; Magnoliopsida; Malpighiales; Euphorbiaceae.